Non-coding RNA from Xyrichtys novacula (pearly razorfish), 596 nucleotides. Lineage: Eukaryota; Metazoa; Chordata; Actinopteri; Labriformes; Labridae. The record is from the annotation of a GenBank genome assembly.
CUCCAACCCUAACCCUAACCCUAACCCUAGCUCCAACCAUAACCCUAAACCAUGCAUUCCUAUGGGAAAAAUCAAAUUUUUUUAGGAAUGUCCUAGAGACUCGGGAGUUGGUUCAUUGCACUCAGAAAAAUCCUAGCUCAAAGCCCAACCCUAACCCUAGCUCCAACACUAACCCUAACUCCAACCCUAACCCUAACCCUAACCCUAGCUCCAACCCUAACCCUAACCCUAACCCAUGCAUUCCUAUGGGAAAAAAUCAAAUUUUUUUAGGAACGUCCAAGAGACUCGGGAGUUGGUUCAUUGCACUCAGAAAAAUCCUAGCUCAAAGCCCAACCCUAACCCUAGCUCCAACACUAACCCUAACUCCAACCCUAACCCUAACCCUAACCCUAGCUCCAACCCUAACCCUAACCAUAACCCUAACCCAUGCAUUCCUAUGGGAAAAAAUCAAAUUUUUUUAGGAAUGUCCUAGAGACUCGGGAGUUGGUUCAGUGCACUCAGAAAAAUCCUAGCUCCAAGCCCAACCCUAACCCUAGCUCCAACACUAACCCUAACUCCAACCCUAACCCUAACCCUAACCCUAGCUCCAACCCUAA